UUAAGUUUACUUCACUAGUAAAAAUCAGUAUUUGACUAACUGAAUUAUAUUUUUAACAUGCACUUAAUAUUUUUUGAUACAUUUCAAUCAAAAUAUCUGUUAAUGGAGUAAUUGUACUGAUUAGUUUCAAGAACUACAAUUAUAAAUUAUUCCAACUCAAUAUUCUUUAUUUUUAACAACAAAAACUUAAAUAAUUGAGUAAAUUGCCAGUUGCAAGUGCUCAUGGGAAGUCUGGUGUAACAUCAGAGACAAGAAGGCUGUGAGGAUGUGAGAAUGGACAUGAAGCACCUGGAACAUUCUGGAACACUCCUUACAAAUCCUGCACCAACACCACUAAUGAAGAGAAGUUGAAUGGAGAUAAAACAGAAGGUGCCAGCAUUAUGGGAUGGCGGUGUAAGCUCUGCACAUUUGUCGUAUCAUCAAAAGGAAUUUCGAUCAUUACCGAGUGAAGCAUGGUACUGUUAGUCAUGGAUAUUUUGUGUCCUGUCUUCAUUUAGACUGUCAUUGCUUCUUUAAGACCUGAGAAGGUCUGCACACACAUUUGUAUGGAUCCCACAGUUUGCAGGAAACUGAAGUGAAGGUGUGCAAUCUUUCAGAUGUAAAAUGUGACUCAUUAGAUUCUAAUACAAAAGUCUACUUUCCAUGUGUUAACUGUAUAAUACUUGU
Long non-coding RNA from Clarias gariepinus (North African catfish), 666 nucleotides. RefSeq lists it as uncharacterized. The transcript has 3 exons. The record is from RefSeq and is a predicted model, not a curated record. Lineage: Eukaryota; Metazoa; Chordata; Actinopteri; Siluriformes; Clariidae.